GACGAACGCUGGCGGCGUGCUUAACACAUGCAAGUCGAACGGAAAGGCCCUGCUUUUGUGGGGUGCUCGAGUGGCGAACGGGUGAGUAACACGUGAGUAACCUGCCCUUGACUUUGGGAUAACUUCAGGAAACUGGGGCUAAUAUCGGAUAGGAUCUCCUGCUGCAUGGUGGGGGUUGGAUAGUCUCGGCGGUCGGGGAUGGACUCGCGGCUUACCAGCUUGUUGGUGGGGUAGUGGCUUACCAAGGCUUUGACGGGUAGCCGGCCUGAGAGGGUGACCGGGCACAAUAGGCCUGAGGUACGGCCCAGAGUGGUAGGGGGGACAGCAGUGGGAAAUAUUGCACAAUGGGAGGAAGCCUGAUGAAGAGGCGCCGCGUGCGGGAUGACGGCCUUCGGGUUAUAAACCGCUGUAGCCUGUGACGAAGCGUUAGUGACGGUAAUGGAUAAAGAAGCACCGGCUAACUACGUG
Molecule: ribosomal RNA, 468 nt
Filed under: uncultured bacterium
Lineage: Bacteria
Description: partial 16S ribosomal RNA
Rfam family: Bacterial small subunit ribosomal RNA
Source: RNAcentral